Molecule: non-coding RNA, 412 nt
Organism: Biomphalaria pfeifferi
Lineage: Eukaryota; Metazoa; Mollusca; Gastropoda; Planorbidae
Source: the annotation of a GenBank genome assembly
GUUUAAGAGUUCUGGAUGCGUGCACAUUUAGAGAAACAUAUCAACAUCCACACAAUACUGACAGCUCUUUAAGUUACACAAUCAACUAAACCAUGAGCAUGAUCAACAAUGUUUGUCCCCAAUAGAAAACCAAUGAGACCAAAAUGUGUUCCGAACUAAUGCUGUUGCCUAGCCCAACAAAACAGAGGGUCUCGAUAGUUCCUACCAGAUCUAAGUGUUCUUUCUCAGCAUUCUAUAGAACCCUUACCUGAUGACAUUUGACAAUGAUAGAUUUCUACAUUGUACUUCUUAUCCUCUGAUACUGUAGCCUAAAGACCAGAAUCCAAUGUGUACUUGACUAACCAGCAAGAUACCAACAAUGGAAAACAAAACAAAAAAAAAACGAAUGGACUAACGGAGGGGGGGGGGGGGG